UUAAUACAGAUGAACUCAUGAACAAGACAUGACUACACUUGAAGCAUGGUUACCAACACAUUCUCACUCCCAGCGCGUCAAAAACAAACGCUUGUUCAGCCACCCUCCACGUCAGACCCCAGACGCCAAAAGUGCCCUUUUUCGUUACUUAUGUGUGAAAAGGGGUUUUCCCUUAUUUGACUGCAGAUCCCAAUGCAGCGUUACACUGACGCGAUGGGAUGUCCGCAGCCAGGGCACCAAACAAGCUCAUUGUACUUCACCUUAACCUUAUCCUCUUAUUUAACCUUCCCCUCACCCCUAUCCUAACCGUAACCAUCUUGCUAGCGAACACGUUAGUGAUGUGUCGAUCACUCUAACAGGUGUACCGGGAAUUUCUCCUACCCCGUAAACCGUCCUACCCGUCGUUCCUGCUCAUGUGCGCGCAUGCGCACAACACAAAAAGGGAAGCAAAGCGCAUCCGGCUGUGAUUUCAUGCUACUCCGUUGUCAGAUUUGCAGGAAAAUAGCUUUGGUUAAGUCUGCUGUGGUUACUGGACAUGUGGUAUUUGGACAACACUUCUGAAUCCGCAGCUUCGGUGUUUUAAGGCUGUUUCGAUAUGGAGAAGAAGUGGGAAGAGAUGUACACAUUCAUUUCUGCGGGCUCCUACCCUUCAGGAUAUGACAAGGCUCAGAGGCAAAACCUCAGAAGAUAUGCCUCAAAAUUCAAAUAAAAGGAUGGAGAACUCUUUGUUGGAACCAGAAGAGUAGUAAAAACCAUGGAUGAUGCCAGGAAGAUUUUUCAUGAGUUUCAUUCAUCUCUAAUCGGAGGACACACUGGCACACACAAAACGCUAAAUGCAGUGUGUUCCAGAUUUUACUGGUUUGGUAUGACAGUUGACAUUAAAUUUCCUUUUCAGUUCUUUGUCCCUGUGUUCUGUUGGGUCUAUAAAUGUCAAAUAUAUGUAUCUGUAAAUAUAUUCAGUAAAUAUAUACUGUAACUAUAAUGGAGUGAGUUCAUUGUCAAAGUUUAUAUAGUCAGGUGUUCCAAUCACUUCAAUGGUGACAGCUGUAUAACUUAAGCACCUUGGCAUGCAGACUGCUUCUACAAACAAGUGCCAAAACAUGCUACCUUUGUUAUUAUAAACUACAAGCAUAAGAAUUACGUGCCAAAACAUGCUACCUUCGUUAUUAUAAACU
Molecule: long non-coding RNA, 1175 nt
Organism: Nothobranchius furzeri (turquoise killifish)
Lineage: Eukaryota; Metazoa; Chordata; Actinopteri; Cyprinodontiformes; Nothobranchiidae
Source: RefSeq, a predicted model, not a curated record